Molecule: ribosomal RNA, 301 nt
Filed under: uncultured bacterium
Lineage: Bacteria
Description: partial 16S ribosomal RNA
Rfam family: Bacterial small subunit ribosomal RNA
Source: RNAcentral
CAGCCGCCGCGGUAAUACGAAGGGGGCUAGCGUUGCUCGGAAUUACUGGGCGUAAAGGGCGCGUAGGCGGCGCUCCAAGUUAGGCGUGAAAUUCCCGGGCUCAACCUGGGGACUGCGCUUAAGACUGGAGUGCUUGAGGAUGGAAGAGGGUUGUGGAAUUCCCAGUGUAGAGGUGAAAUUCGUAGAUAUUGGGAAGAACACCGGUGGCGAAGGCGGCAACCUGGUCCAUUACUGACGCUGAGGCGCGAUAGCGUGGGGAGCAAACAGGAUUAGAUACCCCAGUAGUCCCUGUCUCUUAUAA